Molecule: ribosomal RNA, 369 nt
Filed under: uncultured bacterium
Lineage: Bacteria
Description: bacterial SSU rRNA
Rfam family: Bacterial small subunit ribosomal RNA
Source: RNAcentral
GUAGGGUGCAAGCGUUAAUCGGAAUUACUGGGCGUAAAGCGUGCGCAGGCGGUGAUGUAAGACAGGUGUGAAAUCCCCGGGCUUAACCUGGGAACUGCAUUUGUGACUGCAUCGCUGGAGUGCGGCAGAGGGGGAUGGAAUUCCGCGUGUAGCAGUGAAAUGCGUAGAUAUGCGGAGGAACACCGAUGGCGAAGGCAAUCCCCUGGGCCUGCACUGACGCUCAUGCACGAAAGCGUGGGGAGCAAACAGGAUUAGAUACCCUGGUAGUCCACGCCCUAAACGAUGUCAACUGGUUGUUGGGUCUUCACUGACUCAGUAACGAAGCUAACGCGUGAAGUUGACCGCCUGGGGAGUACGGCCGCAAGGUUG